AAGUCGUAACAAGGUCUCCGUUGGUGAACCAGCGGAGGGAUCAUUACUGAGUGAAAACUCCAAACCCGUGGACAUACCUGUUGCCUCGGCGCCCCUACACUGCUUGUGGAAGGGCGCCGAAGGACCACUAAACUCUGUUUUUUACUGAGUCUGAACUAUAACAAAUCGUUAAAACUUUCAACAACGGAUCUCUUGGUUCUGGCAUCGAUGAAGAACGCAGCGAAAUGCGAUAAGUAAUGUGAAUUGCAGAAUUCAGUGAAUCAUCGAAUCUUUGAACGCACAUUGCGCCCCCCAGCAUUCUGGAGGGCAUGCCUGUUCGAGCGUCAUUUCAACCCUUGAGCCCUGUCGCUCAGUGUUAGGAGACUACAGCGUAGCUCCCUAAAUCUAUCGGCGGAGUCGUUCUCACUCUAGAUGCAGUAAAUCUCUCGUCUACAGUGGGUUCGCCCCCUGCCGUAAAACCCUAUAUUUCAAUGGUUGACCUCGGAUCAGGUAGGAAUACCCGCCGAACUUAA
RNAcentral lists this ribosomal RNA (512 nucleotides) under uncultured fungus. RNAcentral describes it as "eukaryotic LSU rRNA". The stretch from base 173 to 326 matches the Rfam family "5.8S ribosomal RNA". Lineage: Eukaryota; Fungi. The record is from RNAcentral.